This 253-nucleotide ribosomal RNA is filed under the name uncultured bacterium. RNAcentral describes it as "partial 16S ribosomal RNA". It matches the Rfam family "Bacterial small subunit ribosomal RNA", at positions 524 to 775 of the family's 1533-position model. The record is from RNAcentral.
UACGUAGGGUGCGAGCGUUGUCCGGAAUUAUUGGGCGUAAAGGGCUCGUAGGCGGUUUGUCGCGUCGGGAGUGAAAACCCAGGGCUUAACUCUGGGCUUGCUUUCGAUACGGGCAGACUAGAGGUAUGCAGGGGAGAACGGAAUUCCGUGGUGUAGCGGUGAAAUGCGCAGGAUAUCAGGAGGAACACCGGUGGCGAAGGCGGCUUCUGGGUCUUACCUGACGCUGAGGAACGAAAGCUAGGGGAGCGAACGG